RNAcentral lists this ribosomal RNA (449 nucleotides) under uncultured bacterium. RNAcentral's name for it is "partial 16S ribosomal RNA". It matches the Rfam family "Bacterial small subunit ribosomal RNA", at positions 29 to 523 of the family's 1533-position model. The record is from RNAcentral.
AACGAACGCUGGCGGCAGGCCUAACACAUGCAAGUCGAGCGAGGACUUCGGUCCUAGCGGCGGACGGGUGAGUAACGCGUGGGAACGUGCCCUUUGCUACGGAAUAGCCCCGGGAAACUGGGAGUAAUACCGUAUGUGCCCGAGAGGGGAAAGAUUUCUCGGCAAAGGAUCGGCCCGCGCUGGAUUAGGUAGUUGGUGGGGUAAUGGCAUACCAAGCCGACGAUCCAUAUCUGGUUUGAGAGGAUGAUCAGCCACACUGGGACUGAGACACGGCCUAGACUCCUACGGGAGGCAGCAGUGGGGAAUCUUAGACAAUGGGGGAAACCCUGAUCUAGCCAUGCCGCGUGAGCGAUGAAGGCCUUAGGGUUGUAAAGCUCUUUCAGUGGGGAAGAUAAUGACGGUACCCACAGAAGAAGCCCCGGCUAACUCCGUGCCAGCCGCCGCGGUAA